RNAcentral lists this ribosomal RNA (253 nucleotides) under uncultured bacterium. Its description in RNAcentral is "partial 16S ribosomal RNA". It matches the Rfam family "Bacterial small subunit ribosomal RNA", at positions 524 to 776 of the family's 1533-position model. The record is from RNAcentral.
UACGUAGGGGGCGAGCGUUGUCCGGAAUCACUGGGCGUAAAGCGCGUGUAGGCGGCCCGGUAAGUCCGCUGUGAAAGUCCAGGGCUCAACCCUGGGAUGCCGGUGGAUACUGUCGGGCUCGAGUCCGGAAGAGGCGAGUGGAAUUCCUGGUGUAGCGGUGAAAUGCGCAGAUAUCAGGAGGAACACCGAUGGCGAAGGCAGCUCGCUGGGACGUGACUGACGCUGAGACGCGAAAGCGUGGGGAGCAAACAGG